UGAUGGAAUCUGCAUGAAUGACAGAGAC
RNAcentral lists this non-coding RNA (28 nucleotides) under Mus musculus (house mouse). The record is from RNAcentral. Lineage: Eukaryota; Metazoa; Chordata; Mammalia; Rodentia; Muridae.